ACAGCAGUCGCCGCGGGAAAACGUAGGGCGCAAGCGUUGUCCGGAAUUAUUGGGCGUAAAGAGCUCGUAGGCGGUCUGUCGCGUCUGGUGUGAAAUCCCGAGGCUCAACCUCGGGCUUGCAUCGGGUACGGGCAGACUAGAGUGCGGUAGGGGAGACUGGAAUUCCUGGUGUAGCGGUGGAAUGCGCAGAUAUCAGGAGGAACACCGAUGGCGAAGGCAGGUCUCUGGGCCGCAACUGACGCUGAGGAGCGAAAGCAUGGGGAGCGAACAGGAUUAGAUACCCCCGUAGUCCCUGUCUCUUAUAC
Molecule: ribosomal RNA, 305 nt
Filed under: uncultured bacterium
Lineage: Bacteria
Description: partial 16S ribosomal RNA
Rfam family: Bacterial small subunit ribosomal RNA
Source: RNAcentral